This 465-nucleotide ribosomal RNA is filed under the name Vreelandella stevensii. RNAcentral's name for it is "partial 16S ribosomal RNA". It matches the Rfam family "Bacterial small subunit ribosomal RNA", at positions 338 to 795 of the family's 1533-position model. Lineage: Bacteria; Pseudomonadati; Pseudomonadota; Gammaproteobacteria; Oceanospirillales; Halomonadaceae. The record is from RNAcentral.
CCUACGGGCGGCAGCAGUGGGGAAUAUUGGACAAUGGGCGAAAGCCUGAUCCAGCCAUGCCGCGUGUGUGAAGAAGGCCUUCGGGUUGUAAAGCACUUUCAGUGGGGAAGAAAGCCUUGGGGCUAAUACCCUCGAGGAAGGACAUCACCCACAGAAGAAGCACCGGCUAACUCCGUGCCAGCAGCCGCGGUAAUACGGAGGGUGCGAGCGUUAAUCGGAAUUACUGGGCGUAAAGCGCGCGUAGGCGGUCUGAUAAGCCGGUUGUGAAAGCCCCGGGCGCAACCUGGGAACGGCAUCCGGAACUGUCAGGCUAGAGUGCAGGAGAGGAAGGUAGAAUUCCCGGUGUAGCGGUGAAAUGCGUAGAGAUCGGGAGGAAUACCAGUGGCGAAGGCGGCCUUCUGGACUGACACUGACGCUGAGGUGCGAAAGCGUGGGUAGCAAACAGGAUUAGAUACCCCAGUAGUC